CGGUUGAUCCUGCCGGACCCGACUGCUAUCGGAUUGAGACUAAGCCAUGCGAGUCAACCCGCAAGGGUGGCGGACGGCUCAGUAACACGUAGUGAACCUGCCCUGGGGACGUGGACAACCAUGGGAAACUGUGGCUAAACCGCGAUAGGUCAUUGUUUCUGGAAUGGGCAAUGGCUCAAACCUACAUGGCCCCAGGACGGCACUGCGGCCGAUCAGGUUGUUGGUGAGGUAAUGGCCCACCAAGCCUGUAACCGGUACGGGCUCUGAGAGGAGGAGCCUGGAGAUGGGCACUGAGACAAGGGCCCAGGUCCUAUGGGACGCAGCAGGCGCGAAACCUUCGCAAUAGGCGAAAGCCUGACGAGGUUAUUCCGAGUGUUCCCUGCUAAAGGGAUCUUUUGCCAGCUCUAAAAAUGCUGGUGAAUAAGGGGUGGGCAAGCCUGGUGUCAGCCGCCGCGGUAAUACCAGCACCCCGAGUGGUCGGGAUGAUUAUUUGGCCUAAAGCAUCCGUAGCCGGCGCAUCAAGUCUUCCGUUAAAUCCACCUGCUCAACAGAUGGGCUGCGGGAGAUACUGCUGCGCUAGGAGGCGGGAGAGGCGAGGGGUAUUCCAUGGGUAGGGGUAAAAUCCUCUGAUCCAUGGAGGACCACCAGUGGCGAAGGCGUCUCGCCAGAACGCGCUCGACGGUGAGGGAUGAAAGCUGGGGGAGCAAACCGGAUUAGAUACCCGGGUAGUCCCAGCUGUAAACGAUGUAGGCUCGGUGAUGGACUGGAUUCGAUCCAGCCCAGUGCCGCAGGGAAGCCGUUAAGCCUACCGCCUGGGGAGUACGGUCGCAAGACUGAAACUUAAAGGAAUUGGCGGGGGAGCACCACAAGGGGUGAAGCCUGCGGUUCAAUUGGAUUCAACGCCGGG
RNAcentral lists this ribosomal RNA (907 nucleotides) under uncultured crenarchaeote. RNAcentral describes it as "bacterial SSU rRNA". It matches the Rfam family "Archaeal small subunit ribosomal RNA", at positions 5 to 922 of the family's 1478-position model. Lineage: Archaea; Thermoproteati; Thermoproteota. The record is from RNAcentral.